RNAcentral lists this ribosomal RNA (377 nucleotides) under Opisthosiphon caguanense. Its description in RNAcentral is "partial 12S ribosomal RNA". The record is from RNAcentral. Lineage: Eukaryota; Metazoa; Mollusca; Gastropoda; Littorinimorpha; Pomatiidae.
UAUUUUAGACUGUAAAUUAAUAAAUUUAUUAUUUACCUAAGUACUAUGAAUAUUAUUUAAAAUUUAAAGAACUUGGCGGUAUCCUAGACUAUUUAGAGGAACCUGUAUUUUAAUCGAUAGUCCUCGUUUUACCUUACCUUUUUUUGUGUUUCAGUUUGUAUACCGUCGUCGUCAGUUAACUUUAUGAUAAAAUAGAAGUUGUCUUAUAAAAUUUAAUUUUAGAUGUCAGAUCAAGGUGCAGCUUAUAAAUUGGAAAAUAUUGGUUACUAUUAUAAAUUUAUAUUAUGAAUAGUUUUUUGAAAUAUAUUACUUGAAAAAGGAUUUAAAAGUAAUUAAAUUUAGAUAUAUUUAAUGAAUAUAGCUCUUGGAUGUGCACA